UCAGAUCACAACCGCCAGGGCC
Molecule: non-coding RNA, 22 nt
Filed under: Mus musculus (house mouse)
Lineage: Eukaryota; Metazoa; Chordata; Mammalia; Rodentia; Muridae
Source: RNAcentral